GAUGAACGCUGGCGGCGUGCUUAACACAUGCAAGUCGAGCGAAGCAGUUAAGAAGAUUCUUCGGAUGAUUCUUAACUGACUGAGCGGCGGACGGGUGAGUAACGCGUGGGUGACCUGCCCCAUACCGGGGGAUAACAGCUGGAAACAGCUGCUAAUACCGCAUAAGCGCACAGAGCUGCAUGGCUCGGUGCGAAAAACUCCGGUGGUAUGGGAUGGGCCCGCGUCUGAUUAGGCAGUUGGCGGGGUAACGGCCCACCAAACCGACGAUCAGUAGCCGGCCUGAGAGGGCGACCGGCCACAUUGGGACUGAGACACGGCCCAAACUCCUACGGGAGGCAGCAGUGGGGAAUAUUGCACAAUGGGGGAAACCCUGAUGCAGCGACGCCGCGUGAGCGAAGAAGUAUUUCGGUAUGUAAAGCUCUAUCAGCAGGGAAGAUAAUGACGGUACCUGACUAAGAAGCCCC
This 464-nucleotide ribosomal RNA is filed under the name uncultured bacterium. Its description in RNAcentral is "bacterial SSU rRNA". It matches the Rfam family "Bacterial small subunit ribosomal RNA", at positions 28 to 494 of the family's 1533-position model. The record is from RNAcentral.